AAUUAUAUACAGUAAAGACCAUCAAUCGAGAGCGCGAAUCUCACACUAUGCCUGCCCAGAGUCAGUGGUUUCCACUAUCCACAACCCUGAAGUACAUGGCACCACCAAUUACCAAACAAGGUGCAAGGAUAUGUAGUUUGCACAUGGGGAUGGUGUUAUAUUCCCACUCUCAAUUUCGCUUCGUCUUCUUCAUCGAUACUUCCCAGAGUGCAGAGACGCUGAGCAACAGACAUAGAGAAACUAAAUGCGUCUCCUAGAAAAGCGGAACUCUCUAACGAUUAAUAGCUCUCGAGGCAUAAAGCUUUGACGUCUCCAAUUUAUUCCCCAGGCAGGCAUUGUAGAUGUUGAUCCAGAAAGCUAAUUUUUGCUUGUGGGUCAGUGAAGUUGGGUCCACAUUGCAGAGUUUUUGCAUCAAAACCCUGGAAGAAAAGAAUAAGUAGGAGUGAAAUACGAAAAAUGAUUGCUACUAGAUCAGUAGGAGUGCCUUGGAAAUACCUUAAUUUUCCCAUUGCUUUUAUGCACUCUGAAAUUUGGCUAAUGUUCAGUGAACUUCUUGUGAUUUGGAAGAAAUUCUUGUACGGGCCAACAUCUCUAAUAAGGCCAUCAAAA
Molecule: long non-coding RNA, 609 nt
Organism: Rhododendron vialii
Lineage: Eukaryota; Viridiplantae; Streptophyta; Magnoliopsida; Ericales; Ericaceae
Exons: 2
Source: RefSeq, a predicted model, not a curated record